AUUCCAUGGUGAGGACAUUGCCUUUGAAGGCGUUUGAAUCUUUUCCAAGCAUCAUGUAGUGAUUCAUCAUCUUCUUGACGAAAAUUAGAUAUGUCAUUCCUUAGCUU
This is a non-coding RNA of Daucus carota subsp. sativus, 107 nucleotides long. NCBI's taxonomy places the organism in Eukaryota, Viridiplantae, Streptophyta, Magnoliopsida, Apiales, Apiaceae. The record is from Rfam.